GACGAACGCUGGCGGCGUGCUUAACACAUGCAAGUCGAACGAAGAGCGAUGGAAGCUUGCUUCUAUCAAUCUUAGUGGCGAACGGGUGAGUAACGCGUAAUCAACCUGCCCUUCAGAGGGGGACAACAGUUGGAAACGACUGCUAAUACCGCAUACGAUCUAAUCUCGGCAUCGAGGAUAGAUGAAAGGUGGCCUCUACAUGUAAGCUAUCACUGAAGGAGGGGAUUGCGUCUGAUUAGCUAGUUGGAGGGGUAACGGCCCACCAAGGCGAUGAUCAGUAGCCGGUCUGAGAGGAUGAACGGCCACAUUGGGACUGAGACACGGCCCAGACUCCUACGGGAGGCAGCAGUGGGGAAUCUUCCGCAAUGGACGAAAGUCUGACGGAGCAACGCCGCGUGAGUGAUGACGGCCUUCGGGUUGUAAAGUUCUGUUAAUCGGGACGAAAGGCCUUCUUGCGAAUAGUGAGAAGGAUUGACGGUACCGGAAUAGAAAGCCACGGCUAACUACGUG
This 510-nucleotide ribosomal RNA is filed under the name uncultured bacterium. RNAcentral's name for it is "partial 16S ribosomal RNA". It matches the Rfam family "Bacterial small subunit ribosomal RNA", at positions 28 to 507 of the family's 1533-position model. The record is from RNAcentral.